GACGAACGCUUGCGGCGUGCUUAACACAUGCAAGUCGAACGGAAAGGCCCUGCUUUUGUGGGGUGCUCGAGUGGCGAACGGGUGAGUAACACGUGAGUAACCUGCCCUUGACUUUGGGAUAACUUCAGGAAACUGGGGCUAAUACCGGAUAGGAGCUCCUGCUGCAUGGUGGGGGUUGGAAAGUUUCGGCGGUUGGGGAUGGACUCGCGGCGUAUCAGCUUGUUGGUGGGGUAGUGGCUUACCAAGGCUUUGACGGGUAGCCGGCCUGAGAGGGUGACCGGCCACAUUGGGACUGAGAUACGGCCCAGACUCCUACGGGAGGCAGCAGUGGGGAAUAUUGCACAAUGGGCGGAAGCCUGAUGCAGCAACGCCGCGUGCGGGAUGACGGCCUUCGGGUUGUAAACCGCUUUCGCCUGUGACGAAGCGUGAGUGACGGUAAUGGGUAAAGAAGCACCGGCUAACUACGUGCCAGCAGCCGCGGUGAUACGUAGGGUGCGAGCGUUGUCCGGAUUUAUUGGGCGUAAAGGGCUCGUAGGUGGUUGAUCGCGUCGGAAGUGUAAUCUUGGGGCUUAACCCUGAGCGUGCUUUCGAUACGGGUUGACUUGAGGAAGGUAGGGGAGAAUGGAAUUCCUGGUGGAGCGGUGGAAUGCGCAGAUAUCAGGAGGAACACCAGUGGCGAAGGCGGUUCUCUGGGCCUUUCCUGACGCUGAGGAGCGAAAGCGUGGGGAGCGAACAGGCUUAGAUACCCUGGUAGUCCACGCUGUAAACGGUGGGUACUAGGUGUGGGGUCCAUUCCACGGGUUCCGUGCCGUAGCUAACGCUUUAAGUACCCCGCCUGGGGAGUACGGCCGCAAGGCUAAAACUCAAAGGAAUUGACGGGGCCCCGCACAAGCGGCGGAGCAUGCGGAUUAAUUCGAUGCAACGCGUAGAACCUUACCUGGGUUUGACAUGGAUCGGGAGUGCUCAGAGAUGGGUGUGCCUCUUUUGGGGUCGGUUCACAGGUGGUGCAUGGCUGUCGUCAGCUCGUGUCGUGAGAUGUUGGGUUAAGUCCCGCAACGAGCGCAACCCUUGUUCACUGUUGCCAGCACGUUAUGGUGGGGACUCAGUGGAGACCGCCGGGGUCAACUCGGAGGAAGGUGGGGAUGACGUCAAGUCAUCAUGCCCCUUAUGUCCAGGGCUUCACGCAUGCUACAAUGGCUGGUACAGAGAGUGGCGAGCCUGUGAGGGUGAGCGAAUCUCGGAAAGCCGGUCUCAGUUCGGAUUGGGGUCUGCAACUCGACCUCAUGAAGUCGGAGUCGCUAGUAAUCGCAGAUCAGCAACGCUGCGGUGAAUACGUUCCCGGGGCC
This 1346-nucleotide ribosomal RNA is filed under the name uncultured bacterium. RNAcentral's name for it is "partial 16S ribosomal RNA". It matches the Rfam family "Bacterial small subunit ribosomal RNA", at positions 28 to 1381 of the family's 1533-position model. The record is from RNAcentral.